GAUGAAGAACGCAGCGAAAUGCGAUAAGUAAUGUGAAUUGCAGAAUUCAGUGAAUCAUCGAAUCUUUGAACGCACAUUGCGCCCCCCAGUAUUCUGGCGGGCAUGCCUGUUCGAGCGUCAUUUCAACCAUCAAGCCCUGCUUGUGUUGGGGUCCUGCGGCUGCCCGCAGGCCCUGAAAACCAGUGGCGGGCUCGCUAGUCACCGAGCGCAGUAGCACAUCUCGCUCAGGGCGUGCGGCGGGCUCCAGCCGUUAAAGCACCCACCUUUCGCAAGGUUGACCUCGGAUCAGGUAGGAAUACCCGCUGAACUUAAGCAUAUCAAUAAGCGGAGGA
This 332-nucleotide unclassified non-coding RNA is filed under the name soil metagenome. RNAcentral's name for it is "partial contains 5.8S ribosomal RNA, internal transcribed spacer 2, and large subunit ribosomal RNA". The stretch from base 1 to 120 matches the Rfam family "5.8S ribosomal RNA", at positions 35 to 154 of the family's 154-position model. The record is from RNAcentral.